This 763-nucleotide ribosomal RNA is filed under the name Cortinarius brunneus ectomycorrhiza V14. RNAcentral's name for it is "eukaryotic LSU rRNA". It matches the Rfam family "Eukaryotic large subunit ribosomal RNA", at positions 46 to 808 of the family's 3401-position model. Lineage: Eukaryota; Fungi; Basidiomycota; Agaricomycetes; Agaricales; Cortinariaceae. The record is from RNAcentral.
AUAAGCGGAGGAAAAGAAACUAACAAGGAUUCCCCUAGUAACUGCGAGUGAAGCGGGAAAAGCUCAAAUUUAAAAUCUGGCGGUCUUUUGGCUGUCCGAGUUGUAAUCUAGAGAAGUGUUAUCCGCGCUGGACCAUGUACAAGUCUCCUGGAAUGGAGCGUCGUAGAGGGUGAGAAUCCCGUCUUUGACAUGGACUGCCAGGGCUUUUGUGAUGCGCUCUCAAAGAGUCGAGUUGUUUGGGAAUGCAGCUCAAAAUGGGUGGUAAAUUCCAUCUAAAGCUAAAUAUUGGCGAGAGACCGAUAGCGAACAAGUACCGUGAGGGAAAGAUGAAAAGAACUUUGGAAAGAGAGUUAAACAGUACGUGAAAUUGCUGAAAGGGAAACGCUUGAAGUCAGUCAUGUCGACCAGGGAUCAACCCUGCUUUUGCUUGGUGCACUUCCUGGUUUGAUGGGUCAGCAUCAAUUUUGACCAUUGGAAAAAGAUCAAGGGAAUGUGGCAUCUCUGGAUGUGUUUAUAGCCCUUGGUCACAUACAAUGGUUGGGAUUGAGGAACUCAGCACGCCCUUGUGGAGUGCUUAGGAUGCUGAUAUAAUGGCUUUAAUCGACCCGUCUUGAAACACGGACCAAGGAGUCUAACAUGCCUGCAAGUGUUUGGGUGGAAAACCCGAGCGCGUAAUGAAAGUGAAAGGUUGAGAUCCCUGUCGUGGGGAGCAUCGACGCCCGGACCAGACCUUUUGUGACGGUUCCGCGGUAGAGCAUGUAUG